Long non-coding RNA from Populus trichocarpa (black cottonwood), 541 nucleotides. RefSeq lists it as uncharacterized. The transcript has 2 exons. Lineage: Eukaryota; Viridiplantae; Streptophyta; Magnoliopsida; Malpighiales; Salicaceae. The record is from RefSeq and is a predicted model, not a curated record.
GCUUGAUGGUUGUAAGCUCACACUGAAGUAUUAAAAUGGGUUUCUGAAAUACUUAUAGAGAAGUAGAUAUCUGAGUUUUUUUUUUUUUUUUACUUUUUUGGAUUCUUGGGUUAAUUUUAAUUGUUCUCUAAGAUAAUUGGGUCUAAUUAUAAUGAAAAUUUUGGAAUUGGUGUUUAAUAAUAGUGGCUGAAGAAAAUGAGGAACAACAUGACGGAGAUCAAUCAGUGGUGGGAUACUGGGAUGAAAUUAUAAUGCCUGCAGACGAAGAGCCACUGCAUGAAAAUCAUGAAGAAGAUGGUAAAAUCACUGAACUAGAGAGCACUAAUGCAAUCAAGUGACAGGUUGUGAAGAAUCUGUGACGACAAGAGAACUGGGGAAUGCUUGAUGAUACAUUGCAAAUGUCUUUGUGACAAAGGCUAUCAGAUUCUUCUCCCUAUAAGAAACUGUUACUGCAAACUUAUGUAGAUCAUGACAGAUUAUUGGUCCAAAAUCCUGAUAUCAAGUACUAAUAUACUUAUUUAUUUGUACUGCUUGUUCAUUC